Helianthus annuus (common sunflower) is the source of this 1978-nucleotide long non-coding RNA. RefSeq lists it as uncharacterized. The transcript has 2 exons. The record is from RefSeq and is a predicted model, not a curated record. NCBI's taxonomy places the organism in Eukaryota, Viridiplantae, Streptophyta, Magnoliopsida, Asterales, Asteraceae.
UAUUUUUUCCUAAAUCUCUUGAUAGUUUUAUAAAAUAUUUAUCACAUAGAUUAUCAUCCAUUGCUUUUCCUGUUUGUGAUAGCAAUCUUGUAAAAUCUAAUGUAAAUUCAUUUAUGUAUUUCACAUCAGUUGUACUUAAUUGUUCUCACUACGUCAAAAUAGACCUUUAGCCACGAACACCCUUCUGAAACUAAGAACCAUUACUUUAUGGAGGGAGGAAGAUAGAGUAGUUCAUCCUAAGAGCUUUUCCUCUAGUGCCUUUGUUUGCAUCUAGCAAGCAGGUAACUCUCCACGAACAAUCAGCCCUUCUGAAACUAAGAACCAUUACUUUAUGGAGGGAGGAAGAUGGUGUAGUUCAUCCUAAUUCUGAAAUCAUUUCAAUCAACACUAUGAAACAAUACCUUCAUUGUCUUCUUAAACUGUACAAAUCUUCUACAACCAUCGCCUCUCCUGACUCAACACAACCACAGUCACAAGAAUUACCACAAUCCGCCAUCAUUGUCCCCUCAGGCUCUCCUCAAAAUCGCUCGUGAAUUUCCAGCUUAAGAUAAAGCUCUUAAAUUUUUCGAUUUCAUUUGUCUCUGCAUCCACCUCCAUUAGAUUUCGUAUUUCAAAAUGUUAUUGAGCCCAAGGAAAUUGUGCUUCCAUUGUUAGUUUAUUUAAUCUUUCAAAGGAACGGGAGGUUUCUCUUUCCCCUAACAAAUCAAUCAGGUUAAUUAGUUACUUUUCCCAUUUUAAAAAGCUUGAUGAUUCGGUGUUAAUGUAUGAUGAGUUAGACCCCGAUGCGAAGAACACUAAUGUAAGAAACAUACUAUUUUAUUUGUUGUUGGAAUCUGAAAUAUUUUAGGAUGCACACCAACUGCUCGAUGAAAUGCUUGACACAAAUGCUAAGAUUCCACUUAAUGGAAUAACGUCAAACAUUUUUUUUCUUGUGUUAUUGAGGCGGAAUUAGGUGAACAGGACUGAUGAUUUCAUUGGUUUGAUUCCAAAAUUCGGGGUACAUGGUGUACUUCCUAAUAAAUUUUGCUGACUAAAUUGAUCACUAAGUUGUGUAUGAGUUAUCUAUUAGUUGCUUCAGGCCCAAAAGUUAUCCUACACCAGUGGACUGGUUCUGAAUCGAAUAGUAUUCCUUUUUAGAGGUCAAACAUUAGUGUGCUCAACCCUUGCAUUCGAGUUAGGCUAACUGCUUGAAAUUUUGUUUAACCCUUGCAUUCAAACACUAAGCAGUUGUCGUUGUAGCUUAGAUGGCAGUUUCCGAGAUCACGGUCCACAGCUGCAGCUCUGUUCCACCAUUUGAGGUAACAUAUGUCAAUGAUGAACUUAGUCAGAAGACAUUGAUUUUAUGGGGAGACUUAAAAGACAAACUCAAUUCCAACAGACAAUCUUUUUCUUUUUGUUCAUUUUUAUAGAGGCCCGAUGAAUUCCAAAUCGUGAAACCAAAGUGGAACCAAACGGUUAGUGAUAGUUCGGUUUGGCUCGGUUUCAAUUUUCAAUGGUACAGUUUCGGUUUCGAUAAUAAGAAACCGUUACUAGUGGUUUGGCUCACAGUUUAAACUAAAAACCGUCAAAUUGGACCGUGAACACCACUAUUUGCUAUCAAUUCACUUGCCACCACAGGUAUGGAAUUAUCUUUCAUUGUUUAUAGUUGUUAUGGAUUUUUUGUUAAAUAAAAAAUAUUACAGAUGUGUUUUUUGUUCUAUGGUUGUAUUUUUUUUAUUUUUUAUCUGUUAUUGUUGAAUGUCUAUAUUAAAGUCAUGUUUAGUAUAUUUUUUCCUAAAGUGAAAUUUGCAGAUAAUUGAGGUUGUUUGUUGCAAGAUGGCUCUUCACCAAAAAAAUGUAUACUUACUUUGUUCAGAGCAUUAUUCUAGUGAAAUGUUCGUCAUAUCAUGGUCUAAAAACUAAACAUCAUGGUGGCUGUUGGGUGCAAAUAAUAGUUUUUGUUAUCUAAGUUAAGUUGUUGGUCUUUUACAUUUAUUUU